UUCCGGUUGAUCCCGCCGGACCCGACUGCUAUCGGAUUGAGAUUAAGCCAUGCGAGUUAUACGCCUUUCGUCUGUGAGAGGUGUGGCACACGGCUCAGUAACACGUUGCCAACCUACCCUGAAGACGCAAAUAACCCCGGGAAACUGGGACUAAUGUGUGAUAGGUCAUUUCUCCUGGAAUGGGUUAUGACUGAAAGGGUUGUGGAAGCAUGUUUUCACAAUUGCUCUAGGAUGGGGCAGCGUCCGAUCAGGUUGUUGGUGGGGUAACGGCCCACCAAGCCUGUAACCGGUGCGGGCUUUGAGAGAAGGAGCCCGGAGAUGGACACUGAGACAAGGGUCCAGGCCCUACGGGGCGCAGCAGGCGCGAAAACUUCGCAAUGUGCGAAAGCGCGACGAGGUUAAUCCGAGUGCCGCCCGCUGAGGGCGGCUUUUCUCAGGUGUAAAUGGUCUGAGGAAUAAGGGGAGGGAAAGCCUGGUGUCAGCCGCCGCGGUAAUACCAGCUCCCCGAGUGGUCGGGACGUUUAUUGGGCCUAAAGCAUCCGUAGCCCGCCCUGUUGGUCCCAGGUUAAAUCCAAUCGCUCAACGAUUGGGCCGCAUGGGAUACCGCAGGGCUAGGAGGCGGGAGAGGCGGACGGUACUCCGCGGGUAGGGGUAAAAUCCACUGAUCCGCGGAAGACCACCAGUGGCGAAGGCGGUCCGCCAGAACGCGCUCGACGGUGAGGGAUGAAAGCUGGGGGAGCAAACCGGAUUAGAUACCCGGGUAGUCCCAGCUGUAAACGAUGCGAGCUAGGUGAUGGAGUGGCUACGUGCCAUUCCAGUGCCGCAGGGAAGCCGUUAAGCUCGCCGCCUGGGGAGUACGGUCGCAAGGCUGAAACUUAAAGGAAUUGGCGGGGGAGCACCACAAGGGGUGAAGCCUGCGGUUCAAUUGGAUUCAACGCCGG
This 941-nucleotide ribosomal RNA is filed under the name uncultured archaeon. RNAcentral's name for it is "bacterial SSU rRNA". It matches the Rfam family "Archaeal small subunit ribosomal RNA", at positions 1 to 921 of the family's 1478-position model. The record is from RNAcentral.